RNAcentral lists this ribosomal RNA (252 nucleotides) under uncultured bacterium. Its description in RNAcentral is "partial 16S ribosomal RNA". It matches the Rfam family "Bacterial small subunit ribosomal RNA", at positions 524 to 776 of the family's 1533-position model. The record is from RNAcentral.
UACGGAGGAUGCGAGCGUUAUCCGGAUUUAUUGGGUUUAAAGGGUGCGUAGGCGGACUGUCAAGUCAGCGGUAAAAUUGAGAGGCUCAACCUCUUCCCGCCGUUGAAACUGGUGGUCUUGAGUGGAUGAGAAGUACGCGGAAUGCGUGGUGUAGCGGUGAAAUGCAUAGAUAUCACGCAGAACUCCGAUCGCGAAGGCAGCGUACCGGCAUCCAACUGACGCUGAGGCACGAAAGCGUGGGGAUCAAACAGG